GGCGCCUAACUUUUUUAUUAUUCAAAUUUAACAUCAGACGGAUACAAGUCAUUAUAAGUAACACUUGGUUUCUGUAUAAUUAAGAUACACACGUACGAUCAAUCCUAAAAAUACAUAGAUCAGAUGAUUAUGAAGAUUAUGAGUACCAUACAUCAUAAAUCAUACCCACACGCAACACCCCGAAAGAUCAGAAGAUCCACCGACCGGAGCCACCAUCGCUGCUCGUACGUACUCGAUAACCCGAGGCCUCGGCGCCCUACUCGUUGCUUGCUGGUGGCGGUGGCGGCUCCAGGGGCCUCGCUGACCCAGAGUACCCGUGGGGUUUCGGCGAGGGAGGCCCGUUCAUCGGCGUAUGCUGCCCCAACCGCCUCGCCGGCGUUCCCAGCUCCAGCUCCCACCCCUUGAGUGCCGGGUUCCGGCCGCCGCUCUCCUCGAAAGCGCCCGCGUCGCCGCAUAGCAGCACUGCAACCACAUGUCCACAUCGACGCACCCGUUCAUGCACGUACAUAACAAAAUCUAGUAUCCGGAACACCCAAAGGAAACUUGGUUGCGUGUACACGUACGUACCCGGCGGCGGCAGGCGAUGUGCGGCGACCGCGCAGGAGUCCAGCAGCAGGGACAGGAGGACGACGGCGGCGGCGACGAGCUGCCGUGCGGCUAUCCUCCGGUACACCAUCGAUGGAGCUGUGUACGCAGGCGGAGCGGAGAGCGCUGAAAGUACACCGGUACUAGCUAGUAGUACGUACAGUUCG
This 752-nucleotide long non-coding RNA is filed under the name Hordeum vulgare. RNAcentral describes it as "long non-coding RNA (HVUL_LNC017004)". The record is from RNAcentral. Lineage: Eukaryota; Viridiplantae; Streptophyta; Magnoliopsida; Poales; Poaceae.